This 372-nucleotide ribosomal RNA is filed under the name uncultured organism. RNAcentral's name for it is "partial 16S ribosomal RNA". It matches the Rfam family "Bacterial small subunit ribosomal RNA", at positions 527 to 896 of the family's 1533-position model. The record is from RNAcentral.
GUAGGUGGCAAGCGUUGUCCGGAAUUAUUGGGCGUAAAGCGCGCGCAGGCGGUUCUUUAAGUCUGAUGUGAAAGCCCACGGCUCAACCGUGGAGGGUCAUUGGAAACUGGAGAACUUGAGUACAGAAGAGGAAAGCGGAGUUCCACGUGUAGCGGUGAAAUGCGUAGAGAUGUGGAGGAACACCAGUGGCGAAGGCGGCUUUCUGGUCUGUAACUGACGCUGAGGCGCGAAAGCGUGGGGAGCAAACAGGAUUAGAUACCCUGGUAGUCCACGCCGUAAACGAUGAGUGCUAAGUGUUAGGGGGUUUUCCGCCCCCCUUAGUGCUGCAGCUAACGCAUUAGCACUCCGCCUGGGAGUACGGCCGCAAGGCUG